This 253-nucleotide ribosomal RNA is filed under the name uncultured bacterium. Its description in RNAcentral is "partial 16S ribosomal RNA". It matches the Rfam family "Bacterial small subunit ribosomal RNA", at positions 524 to 776 of the family's 1533-position model. The record is from RNAcentral.
GACAGAGGUCCCGAGCGUUAUGCGGAAUCACUGGGCUUAAAGCGUGUGUAGGCGGAGUUCUAAGUACCUUGUGAAAUCCCACGGCUCAACCGUGGAACUGCUUGGUAUACUGGUUCUCUUGAGCCACCUAGGGGCAACCGGAACAAACGGUGGAGCGGUGAAAUGCGUAGAUAUCGUUUGGAACGCCAAUGGUGAAAACAGGUUGCUGGGGGUGUGCUGACGCUGAGACACGAAAGCCAGGGGAGCAAACGGG